UAUUAUUAAAAUUUUGUUGAAAUUAUUAUCCUAUUUAACUAUGUGAUGCAUCACGUUUCGUAGAACAACAUAUAUUUACAAAAUCUAAAGUACAGAUGCCCGUUAUUCUGAUACAUCAAUUAUAAUACAGAAACGUGAAUGAAAUAUAUUAUUUAAUAAAAUAUCAUAAAUGCGAAUAAAAAACAAUGGAGGGAUGAUAGAAUUUAACAAGCAUGCUAUUAUUGUUGUUUCUAUCACCACACAAUUGCUAUUACCAUAUUGUUAAAAAUUUACUUGUUUUUCUUUCUUCAACACUAUGUAUAUAGAAUAUUUGAUUUUUAUUCUUCUAUAUAUGUUUAAUCAAAAAAAGGCUUUCUAUAAAAUAUAACUUAUGUAUAAACAUUUUUUUCUAUUAUUUUGAUAAGAAAUUUUUAAUGCAUCAGAAAUUUCAUGUUUUGAUACGUUCUUCUUUAAAGAUGACGUCAAGACUUUCGGAAUUACGAAACGUUAUUGAUUAUAGCUCUGAAAGAAGUAAAUUUAAUUUUAACUGCAGUGUCUCAGGUGUAUAAGAAAAUGGCACAGCUUAUUCAAGAUACGAAUAUUACCAGUUCUUUAGCUUUUUCUAAAUCAUUGCAAAAUGAUGAUAAUGUACUUGAUGAAAAAGCACUGCUACAUGAAAAAGAAGAGACAGAUGUUAUAUUGAUACAUGAAUACUGUGAUAAAGAAUUAGGAAAUCAUAAGAAUGAAGAAGUACAGAAUAAUAAAUUGCAUAGUACUAAAUCAUUUGAAAAAGUUUUUUCAUGGCUUAUUACAUUUGAUAAAGUAAUGCAAUCAUCUAUAGGGAAGAGAAGUUUCCAUCUUCUAGAACAAUUGCUAUCCAUUUAUGUCAAUAAUAUUUUAAAAUUUAUGGAAAUAAAUUAUAUCAUGACAUUUGAAGUUAUUAAAUUGAAAAAGCAUAUGAGUAAUACCUUAAUAUUUUUUCACUUUUAUUGACACGAUAUUAAUGAGCACAUAAGCAAUUAUAACUGUUAUUUAAACAAAAUAUCAGUAUUAUUGGCAAUAUAUGUAGAUAUAGAAUUGAGAACUUCUAAACGCUCUAAGGAUCCUUCUAAGAUAGCUGCAAAACUUUUCAGUGCAUUAUGGAUAUAUUUAAAUAAAUCAAAAGAGCAUAUAUUUAAAGUAUUACUUAGGAUUAAACUGAUUACCAAAAGAUACGCAAAGAUUUGUGAUCUUAUAUUCUCUAAAAGCUUUACAAAUUUAAAAACAAAUGGAGAAUCUAUGACUGGGAUAAAAUAUAUCAGAUAUUUAUUCGCUUUAAAGCUUUGGAGAAAAAUAAAAGAAAAUUCAGAAGAAACAAAACAAGUUGAUGAAUUAGCUGUGGCUAUAUUAGGAUCACAUAUGCCAAAGAUGCAAGCAGAAUUAUUGAAACUUGUACCUAAACUUCCUUUGAAUUGUAAAAAUGAAACUUUAUGGUUAAUGCAACCAAACUUAUUUGAUCUAAAACAAGCAUGUAAUGAUUUCCUAAUACUUGAAGAAAAAAUUGAGAUGACGGAAUAUAAUGAAUUGCUUUCCACAAUAAAAACUGAAAGAAUACAUAAUUAUACAAAUCCAGAGACAAGUAUAAAUAUCACCAAGAAUAAAGAAAUAGAUUCCUUGGGUUGUAUAUCUAAUAUAAAUCAGAAGAUAACUUUAGAUGAAAGUAAAUUAAUGAAAGAUAUUUGUAAAGAAAAUGAUAAUUCUAUAAAAAGUCAUAUUAAAAAAAAAGUAGGAAAAAAUAAGAAAUUCAAAUUUGUGCCAAAUGUAAAACCAGGGGAAAUAAUAGUCAUUGAUUUUUCUAAAGAUAAUGAGGAAUGUAUUUCCCUGAAUAAAAAGAAAAAGAAUAAAUGUAAAAAAAAUUUGGGAUGGCUUAGAAUUGUGGCAAAAAAGUAUCAGAAAAACCAAAAACUUUUUAUAGAUGAUGCGAAAAAUAUUGACACUAAAGAAUAUGCAGAUACAGUAAAUAAACAAAAUAGAUUAGAAGACUUGCAAAGCUCUCUAACAUCUUUAAUUGGUCAUGAUAGUUUCUGUAAUACGUUAAAUUUUAAUGAACGAAUAAUAAAUCCUUGCCUGAUUAAAAAAUGUGUAGAAGAUAAAACGUUAAGUGAUAAUAACGAAAGAAAUGUUGAAUUGUACAAUCAAGAACCCUUGAUAAAUAUUACAGAUUCAUCUGCACUAAGAAAAAAAUGUGAACAAUCUGUUAAUCAAAAAAAUUCGAUUGGUAGAUGUGUAGAUAUAGUUGCAUUUGGUUUAAAUGCAAAGGCAGAAGAAGAUUUUGAUUUAUUUUCAUUAGAUGAUAAUGGUUCUAUAUCGAUGUUUAAAAAUAUAUCUUCUUCAUGCUCAUCGCCAUUAUUUAUCCAAUCAGAUAUAAAAAUUUCUGAAUCUAGAGAAUGUGUUUCAAAUCUUGAUUUUAAAAACUCUGAUUGCGAAUCCAAUGAUAUGAGAAUGGAACAAGUUUAUGACUUCCAAGAAGCAGAUAUUUUAAAAGAAAAUAGUUCAAAAAUAAAUACAACUAAUCAAACUUUAAUGGAUGAAGCAUGUAUUUCCAAGGAUGUACCUUCAAAUCAUUUACCGAUUCAAACUGAAGAUUUUUUUGUACCACCAUAUAAUAAUAUACCAACGUCUUCAUUGCAAUUAGACUUUGAAUUAUUACCAACAGAACAAUUGAUAGAAACAUUUAAUUCAUCAUUACCUUUCAGUCAGUAUGAUUUAGUAUCAAAUAAUCCAAUUCCUUUGGACUCACAAUCUACAUCUACAGAAAAUGAUAAUAUAAAUAUACAACAAAUUGUAACUGGAUUACAAUCAGUUGAACCUUAUGAACAAAUACAGCAAAACAUAAAGAUAUCUUCUGAUUGCAACCAAUUAUAUACAGACAAAGAGAUAAUGGAAAAUACAAGUAAUUUUUGGAAACAAGUAGAAUUAACGGAUUUAGAUGAUACUUUACCACAAAAAAAAAGUAUAACGUUGAAUUUCCGAAAACCGAAUAUUAUUUUUAAAAAUGAUAUAGAGACUGAUCAAUCUGUAAUUAUGAUAACACAAGGUGUAUCAGAAGAUACCAAUCUUUUAUAUAAAGUAGAAUCAGAAGGCAAUAUUUUAAUACCAACAGAAAAAUCUUGCUUAAAACCUUUAAAAGGAAAUAUUACGAAGUCUGAUACUCAAAUUUCCAAAAUACCUCUUAUACAAGACAAAUCUAUGAAAGAAAUUUCAACAAAGAUCUCUAUAAGGCCCAAUGUUAGAAAACUUGAUAUAACGCCAUUCAAUGAAGAAACAUCAACCAAAAGAAGAAAAGUUACAUCUGAAUUUUUACCUCUUUUAGAUGCAAGUAGAGUUAUAUAUUCAACAAAUACACAAACUCAAGCAAAAGAUUUACUUUCUGGAAUGAAAGGUAAUUUGACAUUAAAAUUUAUUAGUAUUUUGAACCAAAUAUCACUUUUAUAUUAUGAUAAAUUAUGUGUUGUACUCUACAAUGAUCUAUAUGUAUAUACAUAUAUUUUUAUUUAAUAUAUAUAUAAAUUUUGAUUUAUAUUAUUGCUAGUUAAAAUACAUAAUGCAAGUUUCACUAUAAAUCUUUUACGGAAAUUUAAUUUUAAAUAUAGCAAAUAUAGUUCUCUACAAAAUAAUAUCAAUCGCAUUAAAUAUACGAAAUAUAUAUAUAUGCAUACAUAAAUGUACAUAUAAAGUUUAUAAUUAUGUGAUAUCAUCAAUUGAAGAUGUCUGCAUUGAAGAUCUAUGGUUACUACAAAUUAUAAAUCAAAUAUGAUGGAAUCAAUGGUCAAAAUAUGCAUAUGAUACCACCAAUUGCAGUUAAAGCAUAUCAUGCAGCCUAUCAUGUACAAGCUUCUAUCACUACCAAAGAAGCAAAAAAUUUGCAUUGAAAAUAUGAUGGAUAAGAUCUAAAAAUCCUGAAUAUAGUAUGAAUAUAGUAUAUUGAUAAUUUAGCAAAUUAAAUAACUUCGUGGAUAUGCCACAAAUAAAUAAGGUAUUUGAAUAUGAAAUUCAAAAUUAGUAAUUACUAAUUAAUUUUGUGAGUAUUAUUUAUAUGAAAACUAAUAUCACACUGAAAGUAAGCCCUAUACUAAUUUAAAAAUUUUAGAAUCAAGGUUAUUUCAAGGUCAUAUUACACAGAUAAAUAUACAGUAAUAUUGUUUAUAACAUACAACCAAAGAAAAUUUUCGUAUAUUUGUAAAAAACAUGAGUGAUCUUGAAAAAGCCAUUAAAAAGUAACAUUUAUAAAAAAGAAUUUUAUUCCAUCUAGUUCGUCUUCUUAAACCAUUUAAAUUACAUACAAAAUAUUUUUCGUAUUGUCACAAAUAGAUGAGAUAUUUAGAUAGCUUAUAUACUAUCGUUCAUUUUUUUCAAUUUUAUGAUUAUUUGAUUCCAUUACUAAGCCAUUUGUUAGUGAUUUGAGAAUAUGUUACUUAUAUUAUUUUAAAGUUAUUAAAAAAAAGUAGAAAUUAUUAAAUCCCGAUAUAUACAUAAAAAUAUUUUGCAUAUUAUUUUAAUAUUAAAAAGGAAAAGUUUCCUGUAAGUAAUAUAUAUGAUAUGAGGGAUACUUAACAAUAUUUGUUUUCUAUGCUUCAUGAUUUUUAACCAUAAUUAUUGUAUAAUCAAAUAUUUUACAAAAAACAAUUAUUUAUUAUUGAUUAUCUCAUUAUGAGUUAAUUUUUUAUCUAUAAUAACAUUAUACUUUUUACUCUAUAUAUGAAACAAAAAAAUAAUCAAUAAUUUAAUGUUUAUAAUAUAUAAUUCAUAAUAGAUAGCCGAUUCUAAAAUGGUAUUAUUGAGAACUACAUUUAUAUUUUAAUGAUAUAAUAAAAAUAUAAAGUAUACUUUUAUUAAAUUUUAAUUAAACAAAUAUAAGAAAACGUAUGUGACUUUAUUUUAAAUUAGCAGCAUAUUAAUCUUAUUAUUAGUACAUAUUUUCCUAGAAUACUUAUUUGUAAAAAUUGUUGGUUUAUAUAUAUAUGUGUGUAUAUAUAUAUUGAUGAUAAAGUGUAAUAAUGUAAGUAAAGGUAUAUGAAAAUAAUAAGGUCACAAUGUUCUCCUUAAUAUUUAUCAAAAGUAAUUACCUUGUUCAAAAAACAGAUAUAAUUAUUAUUCUUUAAAUGUUCAUACAUAGAUGAUAAUAUAAUAUCAUAUAAGAAAUAAAAUCUUACAUCGUAAUUGAAGAUUUUGACAGAAAAAAAUUAAUGAUAACAGUGAAUGUAAUAAUAAUUAAUUUUAGCUUAGCUAGAAUCUGUAACUAUUAUCUUUGUUUUGAUUAUUUUUAUUAUACAUUAACAUUAAGUCUUAACAGGGUGCAAUACAAGAAAAUGAUAUAUUUUUAUUUAAACUCAAUGGCACAUAACUAUUAUAUAACAUAUUCCAUAUAUAUUAAAUUUCAUUAGUAAUAUAAGGAAAAAAUAGAAAAGUUAUCAUUGAUUUUAAUAUUGAAAUGUAAUGGUUUACUAUUAAAUCAAUUUAAUUAUUUUUUUUUAUGUAAAUACGUUUUAAAAAUCAUUAAUGAUUACUUACAUAUAAUUGUUAUAUUUUCUUUAUCAGUACAAAAUUUUGUACUUUUUUAUACAAAAUAUUUUAAUUUUACAGUUAACUAAUAAGAACCUAAUUUUCGUAAAAGUAUAGUAUUUAAAUAUGUUUGAAAUCCUCUUAUAAUUUUUCAUUUUUAUUUUAGAUAUAUGAUCAAAUUACGAUAAAAUAUAUUUAACCUCAUAAUUUAUGAUAAGUUCCAUAUUAUUUAUGAUUAUUUUGCUUGAUUUCAAAUGUAAACUGAUGUUUUUAUAUCUCAUAUUUAUUUUUUAUUAUUUAUUACUGUUAGAAGAUUUACAGAAAUCUUAAAAAAAAUGUUCGACAUCCAUAUUUUUUUUAUCUUCUUUUUUGCUUAAAAUUAUAUUUCUAUGAUCAUAUAUAUAGUUGAUUGUAAUACGUUAAUUAUUAGUAUUGUUUAAGAUAUCUUUUGUAUAACAUAAAAUUUAGUGAUUAUAAAUUAUGUAUUCAAUUCAAGUUUAGCAAGUCAAGCAGUUAUUUUUAAAUAAAUAA
This is an RNA transcript of Vespula vulgaris, 6051 nucleotides long. RefSeq lists it as uncharacterized. The record is from RefSeq and is a predicted model, not a curated record. Lineage: Eukaryota; Metazoa; Arthropoda; Insecta; Hymenoptera; Vespidae. The transcript has 9 exons.